This is a non-coding RNA of Triticum aestivum (bread wheat), 135 nucleotides long. NCBI's taxonomy places the organism in Eukaryota, Viridiplantae, Streptophyta, Magnoliopsida, Poales, Poaceae. The record is from Rfam.
AUAGUACUCCCUCCGUCCGAAAAUACUUGUCAUCAAAAUAGAUAAAAGGGGAUGUAUCUAAAACUAAGAUAUGUCUACAUACAUCCCGUUUUAUUCAUUUUGAUGACAAGUAUUUCCGGACGGAGGGAGUACUAG